Chrysemys picta bellii (western painted turtle) is the source of this 398-nucleotide non-coding RNA. The record is from RefSeq and is a predicted model, not a curated record. Lineage: Eukaryota; Metazoa; Chordata; Testudines; Emydidae.
AGCGCGAGCGCUGCCCCGCCCCUGCCCGGGGAAUUCCACCUUCCCUGCAGUGCAACACAGCCCGGGCGGGGCGCGGCGAGCCGUGCUGCAAGAGCUGCUCAGGCAGGUGGAUGACUGAAGCAGCAGAGAACCUUGGUGUCUGAAGAAUGGCUAGUGUUGCUUUAGUGGAGGGAGAGCAUUGCGGAAGGAGGGGUGGAGACCCAGAGAGACAAAAGAUUCCCGCCUUGUGCCAAAGGUAUAUAAGAGGGUGGAACAGAACAAGGAGGUUCCAGUUAUGAGAAAUCCCCUAGUUACCACCUGAGCUGGAGCGAAAAAGAACUGCACCAGAAGAAAGAAUUGGGCCCAGACUAGGAAGGAGUCCAGUCUUUGAAAGAAGCUUAUUGGAACAUCUCUGAGGG